Molecule: ribosomal RNA, 1556 nt
Filed under: Salmonella enterica subsp. enterica serovar Heidelberg
Lineage: Bacteria; Pseudomonadati; Pseudomonadota; Gammaproteobacteria; Enterobacterales; Enterobacteriaceae
Description: bacterial SSU rRNA
Rfam family: Bacterial small subunit ribosomal RNA
Source: RNAcentral
UUAAAUUGAAGAGUUUGAUCAUGGCUCAGAUUGAACGCUGGCGGCAGGCCUAACACAUGCAAGUCGAACGGUAACAGGAAGCAGCUUGCUGCUUUGCUGACGAGUGGCGGACGGGUGAGUAAUGUCUGGGAAACUGCCUGAUGGAGGGGGAUAACUACUGGAAACGGUGGCUAAUACCGCAUAACGUCGCAAGACCAAAGAGGGGGACCUUCGGGCCUCUUGCCAUCAGAUGUGCCCAGAUGGGAUUAGCUUGUUGGUGAGGUAACGGCUCACCAAGGCGACGAUCCCUAGCUGGUCUGAGAGGAUGACCAGCCACACUGGAACUGAGACACGGUCCAGACUCCUACGGGAGGCAGCAGUGGGGAAUAUUGCACAAUGGGCGCAAGCCUGAUGCAGCCAUGCCGCGUGUAUGAAGAAGGCCUUCGGGUUGUAAAGUACUUUCAGCGGGGAGGAAGGUGUUGUGGUUAAUAACCGCAGCAAUUGACGUUACCCGCAGAAGAAGCACCGGCUAACUCCGUGCCAGCAGCCGCGGUAAUACGGAGGGUGCAAGCGUUAAUCGGAAUUACUGGGCGUAAAGCGCACGCAGGCGGUCUGUCAAGUCGGAUGUGAAAUCCCCGGGCUCAACCUGGGAACUGCAUUCGAAACUGGCAGGCUUGAGUCUUGUAGAGGGGGGUAGAAUUCCAGGUGUAGCGGUGAAAUGCGUAGAGAUCUGGAGGAAUACCGGUGGCGAAGGCGGCCCCCUGGACAAAGACUGACGCUCAGGUGCGAAAGCGUGGGGAGCAAACAGGAUUAGAUACCCUGGUAGUCCACGCCGUAAACGAUGUCUACUUGGAGGUUGUGCCCUUGAGGCGUGGCUUCCGGAGCUAACGCGUUAAGUAGACCGCCUGGGGAGUACGGCCGCAAGGUUAAAACUCAAAUGAAUUGACGGGGGCCCGCACAAGCGGUGGAGCAUGUGGUUUAAUUCGAUGCAACGCGAAGAACCUUACCUGGUCUUGACAUCCACAGAACUUUCCAGAGAUGGAUUGGUGCCUUCGGGAACUGUGAGACAGGUGCUGCAUGGCUGUCGUCAGCUCGUGUUGUGAAAUGUUGGGUUAAGUCCCGCAACGAGCGCAACCCUUAUCCUUUGUUGCCAGCGAUUAGGCCGGGAACUCAAAGGAGACUGCCAGUGAUAAACUGGAGGAAGGUGGGGAUGACGUCAAGUCAUCAUGGCCCUUACGACCAGGGCUACACACGUGCUACAAUGGCGCAUACAAAGAGAAGCGACCUCGCGAGAGCAAGCGGACCUCAUAAAGUGCGUCGUAGUCCGGAUUGGAGUCUGCAACUCGACUCCAUGAAGUCGGAAUCGCUAGUAAUCGUGGAUCAGAAUGCCACGGUGAAUACGUUCCCGGGCCUUGUACACACCGCCCGUCACACCAUGGGAGUGGGUUGCAAAAGAAGUAGGUAGCUUAACCUUCGGGAGGGCGCUUACCACUUUGUGAUUCAUGACUGGGGUGAAGUCGUAACAAGGUAACCGUAGGGGAACCUGCGGUUGGAUCACCUCCUUACCUUAAAGAAGC